UUGUCCAUAUCCUCUCUCCUUUCUGGCCCAUGAGAAGUCUUAGAAGCGGAAGCCCUUCUUUCUCUCAAUGCCAAAUCGGUCAUUAAUGAAUCGAAAGGGCACAUUAUGGUAUGACAACCGAUCUCGCACUUUCUUCCCCAUUCUCUCCCUCCUUUCAUUCUUCCCGUAAUCCCAUCUCUGACCAUCUCCAUUUUCAUUUCGGGUAAAUCCCACCUUCAUAUUGCCUUUUAUUCGCCCCUCAAAAUAUUGGAAAGUUUUUUUCCUCCAUUAUCUCAAAUGGCUCCCUAAAGACAGAUCAAUGAAAUUCACCUUCUUCCAUUACCCAUCUUAAAAUUUCCCUCUGUUUGCACUCAGGUGUUCAACUCAUAAGGAAGAUUUAUCUUGGUUGCCUACUCCUUCCCUAUCUAUGCUUGUAGGUUGUGGACUGAUUUUCUUUGGGGAGUGGAUUGCCACUUUUCAUUUGCUCAAUCUCUGUGUGGUGUUAUUAUCAUUAUACCUUAGAAUGGGCUUAUUGGUCUUCUUAAUAUCUGAUUCUUGCUUGUCCAAAUUUCUACUACUUUUAAUUUACAUUGUUGACUAUUAAUAUCUCUAAUUUUUUUUAUUGGAUUAUGACUA
Molecule: long non-coding RNA, 615 nt
Organism: Hevea brasiliensis (rubber tree)
Lineage: Eukaryota; Viridiplantae; Streptophyta; Magnoliopsida; Malpighiales; Euphorbiaceae
Exons: 2
Source: RefSeq, a predicted model, not a curated record